RNAcentral lists this non-coding RNA (183 nucleotides) under Noviherbaspirillum cavernae. Its description in RNAcentral is "6S / SsrS RNA". It matches the Rfam family "6S / SsrS RNA". Rfam says of the family: E. coli 6S RNA was the first non coding RNA to be sequenced, but its function was unknown until recently. It consists of 184 nucleotides that fold into an extended hairpin structure with a large single-stranded internal bulge. The record is from Rfam by way of RNAcentral. Lineage: Bacteria; Pseudomonadati; Pseudomonadota; Betaproteobacteria; Burkholderiales; Oxalobacteraceae.
AUGCUCCUGCCGUGUUCGUGAUUGUCAUAUAUUCCUUGAACCAUUCAUGCGCAUAGGUCGCGGAAAUUUGUCGAUGGGCGUGUUUCGUCGCUAGUCCGAUGAACCCGAAAUUGCACUAACUGUGACCACCUUGGACCUUUCUAGGUUCGGGAUGCCGGCAAAAACGGCACAGGCGGGACUGAA